CAGUAGCCGCGGUAAUACGGAGGAGGCUAGCGUUGUUCGGAAUUACUGGGCGUAAAGCGUACGUAGGCGGUUUUGUAAGUUAGAGGUGAAAGCCCGGAGCUCAACUCCGGAAUUGCCUUUAAGACUGCAUCACUUGAACGUCGGAGAGGUGAGUGGAAUUCCGAGUGUAGAGGUGAAAUUCGUAGAUAUUCGGAAGAACACCAGUGGCGAAGGCGGCUCACUGGACGACUGUUGACGCUGAGGUACGAAAGCGUGGGGAGCAAACAGGAUUAGAUACCCGCGUAGUCCCUGUCUCUUAUAC
This 301-nucleotide ribosomal RNA is filed under the name uncultured bacterium. RNAcentral describes it as "partial 16S ribosomal RNA". It matches the Rfam family "Bacterial small subunit ribosomal RNA", at positions 509 to 807 of the family's 1533-position model. The record is from RNAcentral.